GAAUUACUGUGGUUUACUAAAGCGACCUAUAAAGAAGACACUAUGAAGAAACUGAUGUUGAUUGUCUUAAUACUGUUCAUAACUAUAGAUAGUGUCUAUCCUUGUAGUUGUAUUCCGGAUGAGGAUCCAGUUUGUUCCACAAAGGGUGAAACUUUCCAAAAUGAGUGUGCCCUAGAGUGUGCCCGUCAAGUUUUAGCCUGCCGUCGUAAAUGUCCAUGUUAAUCUUAACCAUUGUGAAAGUAUUUACGAAUGAGACAGAACACCAAGUGAGAAUGAAUAAAAAAUUUGAUACAUAUU
Long non-coding RNA from Mytilus californianus (California mussel), 297 nucleotides. RefSeq lists it as uncharacterized. The record is from RefSeq and is a predicted model, not a curated record. The transcript is spliced from 4 exons. NCBI's taxonomy places the organism in Eukaryota, Metazoa, Mollusca, Bivalvia, Mytilida, Mytilidae.